AUAAUGAACUACAUAAUAAAGUGCGAGAUGUAAUCAAACAUUACCAAUUAUGAUAAAUAAUUUACUAAAUAUAGUUGCUUAAACUAAUCUAACUUAAUGAUUAAGUAGAUAGUGACUAUAACUCAAAAACUCUGAAUCCACACAAGCUAAAAACUCAAGAAUUCAUUCAUAUUACAGUCAUUAAUUAAUAUUUAACAUUAACUGUCAAGAGAUGCAGUUAACAGAUACAGAGGAACUGAGAUCUAUUGAUAACUGGAUCGACCAGAGCAACAAUGAAAGUCCUCUAGAAGACUAGUACCAUAAGCAAAAGCCACAUAAUAUUUCAUAUUAGCCACCACUAAUUGAACCUCAAUUGGAUGCAGAGUGAGGAGGAGGAGGAGGAGGAGGACGUCCAGUAAAUUCAGAAACGAUUCCUUUGAAAAUAUUUCCCCUUGUUGGCGGAACCGUGGGCCUCAUCCCAGUGGCGGCCACCCUCGCACCGCACCUACCCUGGCCACGAUUUGGGUUGUUAGCACCGCCGUCGCCGUUAUCCCGACUUGGUCCGCCGCUAUAUCCAGUAUCACUCAUCUUCCACUCUUUUUAGCACAGAUUCACGAGAAUUGUGCACUGAACCGGAGUUCUUUUAUUUUUUUGAACGGAGUUCUUGCUUAUAAAGAAUGAGGCAAAAGAGAAGGGUACAAGAGCCCACCACAAGCACGCGCGAGAUAAUCCUAUUAAAUCAUGCCAGUUGGUACAAUGAAUUUGGACAACAAAACGAUCGGAUAAAUAUUAAAGACAAAACAUUUUUUAGAUUAUAAGUUGAUAAAUUCAUAAAGUACGUGAUUAAAAAAAGAAUAAAAAUUAUGAAUUCAAUGGAAUGUUUAGCUAAAUAGAAGUUUGAUAAUGUUAAUUAAAAAAAAAAAGUCAUCGAAUAAGGAUUUAAGCCCUUGUUUGAGCUUUCUUUUUUUUGGAUAUUGAUUUUUUGAUGAAUAUGUGAUUAAAUUGUAGAAUGAAUUUUUAAAAAAAAAUUGAAUAUUAGAAAAAUGAUAGUUAGCUCAUGUUCGGGCUUCAUUAAAAAUAUAUUUUGAAAUAAUAAAUUUUUUCAAGAAUGUAUAAUUAAAAAUUAAAAAAUUAUUUGAAUUUAUGUAUAAUAUUAUUUUAUAAGAGAACGGGUAAUUCAAACAAUAAAAAGAGAGAAAAGUGAAUUUUUUUUCAAGGACGGGGUCGGCCUAAAUUUUAAAGUUUUUGAAUUAUUAAUGAGAAAUGUGGGAACUUGGAAAAAUUUGAUGUCACCAAGAGGUCACGCCUGUAUUAUAUGCCUGAGCAUUUGUUAAACUUAUUAGCUGGCUUUGCACUGUAAAGCAUUUUAUUUCCUAUUUUUUCUAACAUCAGAGAUCUUAUUAUAUUUCGAAUUAAAUAAUGUCAAUAAGGAUAAGCACGACACUAAUUUAAAAUAAAAUAAGAAAUUUCGCCCAUCAGUACAUCCGAAAGAUUUAGCGAAGAUAUCGUAUUUGUAUAGAUAUUUUUGACCAAAAUUCUACAAAUCAUUGGUCUAAAACUUAUUUUAAAAACCAAAUAAAUUCAAGACACUCGUACUCUGACUUUUGACUCUUAAGUCUUAAGAAAUCUAGAAGAAAGUUAAUUUAUUUAUUAUUUUCUAUCAAUGAGUUGAACAAGAAAAUUUGAAGACUUCACCCUUAUUCUUGAUUCUGAUUUAAUCUGACGGUGCAAAUGGGUGUGAGGUUGUUGACAAUUUUGACUUUGUUGAAUUCUUCUUCAUUUUCUUAUUCUUCUUCGGGUAACUUUCCCCACUCGAUGAUAGAAUUUUCCUUAUGUUACUGAUAUUUUUGCUUGAUUCCAUGUUAAUAACUCUCUGAUUUCAUCAUUCCAUCUUCCUCGACCCAAUGAAUACGAACAUUAGACAACACAAAGAGCAAUUUUUACGAAUAAAAAUUUAAAUCGAUUGGAAUCAAAUCAAUUGUACCCGUUAUACUUUGUUAUAGGUUCUGAAGCAAGUACAACUAAAAACUCCAUUUAUUUUUUAGGUAUGGAAAAAAUUGCAUUCUAAAGCUCUUGGUAAAUUAGCAAAUUGUAUUACAUGGUUUAGAUAUUUUUAUUAUAAUAUAAUUGUAUCUCACAAAGGGAGACUAGUGAGCAGAGUUGAUGACUAUUUUCCCAAAAAACACAGGUAAUCAAUCAUGGCAAUGAUCGUCUUAUAAAUCAUAACGUGACCUAUGUUAUAACUUAUCGAUCUAGAUUUUGUCUUACAACUUGACCCUAUGACUAAAAUUUGAAGCGAGAUAUUUUCUAUAAUAGUCAAGUGACGAUUUAAUUGAAAUUUAUGUAAUUUCAAACCAUAUUUUAGAAGCUAGUAAAUAGGUGGGAAAAAAAAAGGUCGAAGCAUGUGUAUUAUAGGACAUUUGUGUAAAACCUGGAGAGAUUGCCAAACCAUUGACAAACCUAUUGAAAUUUAAAGAUAAUCAAAGCAUUUUACGAAGAGUAGAAAGAUCUGUAUGUCCAAAUUUUUCCAUGAUUGUUAAUUCACAUAGAUAAAAACUAAUUAUUUGCCACAUACAUGACAUGAAUCACAAGCUUUCUGCCAUCAAUAGGCAUCAAUCCAAGUCAUUGAAGGAUGUAACUGAGAGUUCCACUUUGGACCUAAGAGAAGAGAAGGUUCGAAAACGAGCUUGUACACAGAUUCUCGACUAGUACAGAUGAAAGAAUUGGUCCAUUCGUAUUUCCUCAAAAAGCUAAUUAUUAUUAAACUUCGAAGGUCAACUUAUAUCAAUUUGAAAAUUAGAUAUGAACUUGCUACUCAAAAAAUAAGUCGAGGACCUAAGCUGUAAUUUCCCUCUUAAGAACAAAAAAUUCUAUUCGAUAAACCCUGAUUAGAUAAACCCUAAAGUAAUCGUCUCUCUCAGUCUUCAAUCCAGCAAUUCAACCCAAACCAGAGGCCCAGAUUGUUCAAUUCGCAGUCGCUGCAACUGUUGCUGCUGUGCCUUUGGGCCAGCCUCUCUCUACAUUCUUUCAGUACGUCAGGAUUCUUUCUUUUUCCACAUAUUUUGUGCUCAAUCAGGUAAAAAAUUCAUCGAUGAAUCUAAUGUAUUAUUUUGCAAUGUCUAAGGCAAAGAAGAUUAAAUAGUGAUUGUGGAAGUGGUGUGAACGAACGAUCCACACAUUGAUAAUUGGCGCACAACUUAUUUUGAUUCUGGAUACAGAUUAAAAAUGAUAGCUUUAUCAGAAUAUUAAAAUAGAAUGUGAUUUUAAAUAUAUUUACCCACAUUAAUCUGCUACUGCUUGAUGUAUGCGCUCAUAAUUUAGUAGUAUAUAAAUUAAUAUAAAGGAUAAAUUUGUACCAUUAAAUGAGAACAGGUGUUUCUCUAGGACAUUACAAACUUAUUUAAAUAACUAUUGCUGCAGGGGACAUGACAAAGAAAAAUAAAUCUUCAAAAAGGAAAGCUAGAGAAAGCAAUGUAGCCACGUCUGAUGGGAUUACUUCUGAGACUAUAUCGGAUAAGAGUAAGCUCCUAUGAACCUUUGUUUAUUGUCUACUCAAAACUGCUGAAAAGUCUCUAAUACGAAAUAUGGAGAAAAUAUGUGAUUGUUAUUGGUAGUUUUUUCUCUUAAACAAAACGAGGAAGGUAAAAUGUCUUGGGAGGAUUCAAAUUUUGAGAGAAGGUGCAAGAGGUUUGUUGUGCUAAAUAUCAGUGGAAUAGAAGCUAAAUUAGUGCUUUUAUCUUUAAUAUCAAAAUAGCUAUUCAAAAAGAUCAAAUAGUCACUCACGUCGAUAGUUCAAUAAUUUUUUUCUCCUCACUUUUGUUUUUGGGAAGAGUAAGAUCAAACUUUGUCGGUAACAUAUUAUCAAUUGUUACAACCCGUGUUAAUCUAUCCUGCUAUUUCUACACCCAAUUUUAUUUACUCUCUUAUUUACCAACAUAUUCUAUCCACAUUUCAAUGAUUCUCAAAUAUCUAAAAUUAAAUAAUACAAAACAUUAACAGCAAAAAUUCGAAAUGAAACUAAUUCACACAAAACGCAAGAAAAAAAAUCAAUCAAGCUCCGUUAAAUGAAAUUGAAUUGCAGAACGUUCACAAAUUUCAAUAAAAACAAGAAUAAGAACUAAAAUUAAGAACAACCAGACCUCAAUCAAUCCAUACAAAAUAUACAACAAAUAAUUUGCGUGGUAAAAUGGAGAGAACAGGUAGCGUCUGAAAAUGGAGAAGAAGAAAGAAAGAUCAUCUAACUUGAGGACGAGUGGGUAUCACUGUAGCCUACAAGGUUUUUUUUUUUUUUGGCAGACGACGUUGUUUUUGCUCGAGAGAUGAAAAAAAAAGUUGUUACAGCAUGUAAAAAUGGAAGAAUCAACUGUUCUUUUUACAAUAAACUAACAUUGCCCUUUUUAUAUAGUAGUGAUAUGAAUGUACAAUCAUCUCAUUCUCGCAUGGCCCCUAUUUUGGCCAAGAAUAAAUAUAGUUUCAAGUUUCUACCAACAAAAGUGCAUCACAUAUUAUACUUUAGCUCAAUGGACCAUGGGCUUACCCUGAUCAUUGAGUCUUAUUUGGUAGUUCAAAACUAUUGUAAUAUAUCUUAGUAGUUAAAUUCAGAGAAACAAACAAGUUAAUAAUAAUAAUAAUCUUCAGUGCUCUUAAAUUUGACAUACCAAACACUUCAUUCAUAAAAGUAGAAAUCUAUAUAUUUCAAGACGAAUCUUUGUGAGUUCGAUAAUUUUUUGUGGAUUAUUAUUAGUAGUGGUAGUAACAAUAGAAGCAGCACUUCUAGUUGUUGUAGUUAGAGAAAAAGAAAAAUUAUUCAAAGAAUAAUCACUUACUAAAUAUAAAUAUCAUUGUUUUCUAGGAUCGAGUGCUCUUUGAUUAUGAUAUAUUUCCGUUCACUGGGAUCUAUAAUUCAAUUUUUGCAUGUAUAGAGUUAAAAGUUGUUCAAAGAGCACAUGGAUCAUGAGUAUUCUAGGAUAUUGCGUAAAAUCGAUAGUGAAUGCACCAAAAUCAACAAAAAUGUCUCUGUCGUAAUCAAAGAAACUUGAAAUUGCAAACCAUCGAUUAGUUCUCAAGCUAGACGCACAGUUUCCUAUAAUUUAAGGAUGUGUUUGCUACAUAUAUUAAGCCCUUGGUUGGGCUCCAUUUCAAUGGAAUUUUGGGGGGAAAUGAGUUUUAGAAUAUUAGUGAUAUUUUAAAGAAUGUGCUGUUAAAAGAUAAGAAAAAAUUUUAGUUUAUGUGUAAUAUUAUUUUAUGGAAUAAUAUGUGGUUGAAAAUGAGUUUUUGAAAAAAUUGGGACCAAACAUAGCUAAAACUCAUUUUUUCUCAAACUCAUUUUUAACCCCACAUUCUUCCAAGAAGUAAUUUUACACAUGGAUUCAUAAGUUUUCCAAACCUUUUAAUCACACAUUCUCUAAAAGAAUUAUUUUUCUAUAAAAUGCAUUCUCAAAAAAGGUACAUCAAACAUGUUUCUCCUCAGUUCUGCUAGAUGCAUUAUGCUAGAAAAUGAAAUUUACUCUUUAUUGAAACUGCUAAAAAUUAGAAUUAUUUUCAACGUCUUUGAUACCAUCAAACAAAUCAAUCAUACUUGGUGUACAAUCAUGUAUGACAAUCUUGUUGACAACAUGUCACAUGGCAAAUUGUCAUUGGAAAGUUUGAAAAACAACUUGUUUUUGCAAACAAUAGUUUUUUGACAAAUAAUACAUUGUCAUCCAUGGUUGUACAAAUAGAUUAAUCGCAAACCAAAUUGCAAGUGUAAAUCACGAAACCAGAUCUGUUGACACAUUUAACCAUUCUCCAGCUACUAGUUUGACAUUCCACUACAGUUUCGAGGUACUGAAUUUUUAGACGUGACACUUAAAAAAUUCUAGUGAGGUUCGAUGGGAUUUUGACACUUCUGAACUGUAGUGAGAUGUCGAAAUAUUAGUGGGGAGACAGCCAAAUAGGUGCAGCAGCUUUUCCCUCGUAAAUAUACUUCACAUUCUUUGUUUUUGUCUUUUUGAUCGAAAACCAGCCUAAUACAGAAUGGUUCAUGCAGAAUUAAGGGGGCAAAAUAAAUAAAUAAAUAAAUAAUUAUAGCACACAACUACCUAGAGAUUGAAAUACUUAGGGUUGUAAUUGUGGGAACACAGAGGAGUGCAUGGUUUGAAGACAUAGGUUAUCAUGUUAAGAAAACUCAGCUUUACUUAAUUCAACCAGAAACGGCACAAAAAUUUGAAGCAAUAGUAGCAAUAAACAAAUGUUCAAAUCUUUCAUCAUCGGAAUCGCAGGCAAUAUUAAGACUUAAAACGAGAACAUGCUUUAAAUUCAAAUGUUGGACUUGUGGUUAAACUCGAAUUUGAAAAUGUUAGAGAACAAAUAAAAUAAAUUGAGUUUCGGCUCAAUUUAUGUUUGCUGUUGAUGAUUUAAAUUCAACACGAUGAGUAAAAUUGCAGUUAUCGCAUCAAGAAAUGACACUAUAAUGCCUAAUCAUAGGAAUAUAAAAAACCUUGACUUUUAUGAAGUUUGGUUUUUGGCAGAAACUAUACUAAUCAUAAAACUGUGCAAGAAUUGUGUUUGUGUUGAAGGCAAAAUUCAAAUUAAUAUGUUUGUUGUUACAACCAAAUUCUUUUAGCUCAAAAAUCGAUGGUUGAAUUGUCAAAGUUAAAGUCAAAGUCAAAUAGGGACUAAAAUGUAAGAAAGUAUUUUAUUGUGGUUAAUUUAUGAGAAAAAAUUAUUUUGAGGGUUUAAGAUGGAUAAAAAUUUUAAGUUUGGAUUUAUUUUUCUAAAUUUGGAAGUUAAGGAUUUAAUACUUUAUUAUAUGAAAUUUAGUAUGACUAAAUGUUAUAUUAUAUGGAAGAUGAGGGACAUACCUUGCAAAACCCCACUAAUUUUUAAACCCAAUUGCCAUUGCUCUACAGAUAUUUUUCAUACCAAUACUGGGCAGAGAGGCUGGAAACGGCAGAGGAGGAAGAAGAAAGAAAAGAAAAGAGAAAGGAAAAAAAAGAAGAGGAAAAGGGAAAGGGAAAAAGAGGAGGAGAAAAAGGAAGAAAAAUAGGUAGUUCAAGCUUGUUUCCAUUCUCCUUUUUCUAUAUUUUCUUCAAGAGGUAAAGGAAUGAUUUUAUGUUAAAUUUCUAGGGUUUUAACUUGUAUAAAUUUCAUAUUUAAGAAACUAAGAGUACAAAUUGGAGCUCAAUUUUGUUGAUUCUUUAAUCUCCAAUUUCAUUAAGGCAAGGAUACCAAUUUUUGGCAAACCCUCGAUUUUAUAUUGGAUACUUGAGUAAGGAUUAAUUGUGAACAUGAUUAUGGUGAUGAUAUAUUAACUUGAAAGAAUGGAUCUAUGGAAUAAGAGGUAAAUUAGAUUGGUGCAAGUGGGAAUUCAAGUUUCAAUAGAUUAGAAUAAAGAAUUAUUUCUAUGUUUGGUAUCUAGUUAAUUAUGAUAAUUUAAAGAUUAGUGAAAGGCUAGAAGGUAAAAUUUGUUUCAAUUGUGAAGGAAACUAAAGAAUAUAUUCAAGUGCCGAAAAGUCAAGUUCUAAAAUUUCAUAAUUAAAUGUUAAGAGAUACUUAGUAUGGGAGUUGUUAAAUUAGUUAUCUUACAUCGGAUUUCAGGUGAUGACGUGAAAGCUUGACAAGGCUGGUCAAUUUGACCAGAUUGCUAUCUAUAGAUCUGUUAGUGGAGAACCUAUUUUUUCAAAAAGAAGAUUUUCUUUUUAUUUUAUAGAAGCAUAUUAAUUACAUGAAAUGUCUUAUUUUCGAGAAAUUGGUAAAUGAUCAUGAUUAUUUUGAAAUUAUCAGAAAACAACUGAUGUAAUUAUCUUACUCUAGUGCACUGAGGGGCUACGGCCGUAUACUAGAGUCAUGUAUUUUAUUCUUAUACACUGAGGGGCUAUAGCCAUGUAUAAGAAUGAUUAUGUUUCCAUCUUGUACACUGAGGGGCUAUGGUCGCGUACUAGAGUCGUGUAUUUAACUCCUAUGCACUGGGGGGCUACAGCCGUGUGUAAGGGUAACUCUUAUCCACUGAGGGGCUACGGCCGUAGGUAAAUGCAUAUAUUAUACUCUAAGGGGCUACCGUCGUGUAUAAAGAUGAUUAUGUUGUUUCCAUCUUGUACACUGAGGGGCUACGAUCGUAUACAUAUUAUUGAUCAGACGGUUUAUGUGCAUAUGAUUUAUAGAUUUCAAAUCAUUAGUAGAUGUUUACAUGGGAUAUAUUUUGAUGUGAAUUUUAAGUAUAUAGGGGAUUAUUAGCCUACAACUUACAUUUCCCCGUUUACAGUUCAACUUAUGGAUUUCAGAUUAUAGAGUUCUGUUUAUUCAGUUUUAAGAAUAAAGCUUCCGGCUUACGAUAUUGAGCAACCACAAUAUUUCAUAGAUUUUCAUGAAUAUCAGAUUCUUUAUAUUCAUUAUACUUUGCAGUUACUUGUCUAGAAUUAAGAACAAAGAAUUUUAUGAUGCAAUCAUGCUUAGUUUAAAAGUGUUGCUAGAUUUUAGCAUUUCUCAAAGAUUUAAUAGAGUUAGAAUUUUUAGGAAAUAUGCAUAAAUGGAAAAGUAUACUUAUUUUUAAUCUAUUCACUCAUUGAGUUACAAGCUCAUAUUUUGUUACCGCUUUUCCUUAUUAGAUAGUGACCGAGUUGAGCAGUAUUGGAGCCUGUCGAUCCACUGAAUUGAGCCAAACGUCAUUAGUUGUACAGUCUACUUUAUCAGAUUAGGUAGUACAUGUUUCUUGGGUUACAUGUAGUUUAUGUUAGAAAAGGUUGUCAUGAGAUCACUAUAUGGUAUAUUUAGUACAUUUGAGAAUUGUUGGUAGUAAACCAAGUAAAUACCGAAUUGUCAAUAUUUUAUUUUGAAUAGUUUGGAUUUUGAGAAAUGAUGUACUUGUUUUAUAUUAUAUGUAUAGAUUCGAGGAAAUUGAUUAUGGAUCCGGUGGUUUUAGUCCCUAUCUAAGAAGAGACUCUGUCAAAAUUUUUUAAAAUUUCCUCAUAGUUAGACAAGUUAAGGUUACGUUGGUGGUGGAUCAGACAUUUAGCUGAUAUCUACCAUCGGCACACGACAUGUGUCAGAUCCAUUAAGGUGAUUUAGGACGGAUCGUGUCAUUUGUCCUAUCAAGAAUAUAUGAUAUUCAAAGUGGGAAACUACAAAAUUACAAUUAUUUGAUCAGCUAUGUGUUGUGGUGGACCUAUUUGCACAAUUAAGCUGUGCUCUGAAUCCUGAUGUGGACUGGUGCAAAUAUAGAAGUUCCAAUAAAUAAAGCUAUUUAAUUUUGGGUGAUAGUGUUGAAGUUUCCAAAUGGUUGUGGGGCAGCGACUGUGAUAGUUGGCCGUGUGGUGUGGUGUUGUGGUGGUGGCGGCGGUGGGUGAUGGUUGGAUAAGAAAAAAUUUCACCAUUUUUUUCUAAAUUUUCCCUUUUUGUCAAUUCUUUGUGCUCGUUUUGUGAUCUAUUUGUUUAUUUUGAAAAGAUUUUGCGUUCUGGCUGAAUUUUCCUUUAUUCCACGUUUAGUUGCUUCCACUUUUUGUUUAUUUAAAUAUGAGGAUAAAUUUGUUAUUUGAUGCAAAUAUAGCGGCAAAAAUGAAUGUAAGGACGUGAUUUGCAAUUAAGCUAAAAGUUGAAAUUUUUUAUUCGAAAAAAAGGUUUAAAUUAGAUUAGUAUUAGUUUGCAACUGUAGGCUAUGAAAAUGUAAAUUUUGCAUUAAAAUAUCCCAAAAAAAAAUAACAUAUACAAAAAUUUGACAAAAUACUUGUCCCUAAUUCAAUAUACAAUAGCAGAAUAUUUAGACAAAAAAUCUUCAUACAAGACAAAAUUAAUAGAAAUAAAUUGAAGGUUAAUAAAAGAAUUGUGACGUAAAAAAGUUAAGGAUAUAAGUGUCAAAAUGAGUAAAAAAUUGGAAAGCUUCGUUGCAAUUAAACCUUGAUUGCAGAUAAUAUAAAUUGUAAUUACCCGUUAUUUAAUUGUUUCCACCAUGAAUCUUAAAUUGGCUCAUAGAUUGGCCCCUCAAAUAAAAACAUAAUCGAUUAAGCUAAGAUAUUAAAGGGGAUAUAAUCCAAAAUCCGUUCAAAUUCAUGCAAUCGGAUGUUUGAAUUGGAAGGGAAAAAAGGGAAGAUUUCUUCCUAUUCUCUAUAUUUUAUUGCAAUCCCAAUUAAAUUAUUUAAUGGCUGAUUGAGAUUGUGAUUAUUUUAAAUUUUCAUUCCUAAGAUUCUAAACCAAAUAAUGAUUGAGACAAUACCAUAUAAUAAAGUAAAUGAUGAAAGAGAAAUAAAAGUUAUUGUUGACCUCGAAUUUUAAUGUGGCCAAUAGAUUCCAAAGUCUCUCACAUCCAUGCAGCCUGAUUUUUGCACACUUAAACAAAUCGUCAGCCACACGUGACUUUCUCCAGUGGUGUUGAAAUUGGCAGUGCGCACUCCGAGAAUUAAGUCAGUUGUAAUAAGUAUAUGAAUGUGGGAAGGGCCUUAGAUGCAAGCCUCCAAUAUAAAAAGGGGUUCGGUUUGGAGAAUUUUCAUGAUAAUAAUAGUAAAGACACUAAAGUUGUAAUUUGAGAUUCUAAAUUUGCAUUACCUUUGGAAUGACACGUUCUGUAAGCUUUUAUAAUAAAAUAGGAUAAAUGUCAACUAUAGGAUGAAAGUAAACUUGGUUUCAUCUACUAGGGAUGGCAAUGGGAUGGGUUUGAGAAGAGGCAGGUCGGGCAUUUUUCCGCCCCGUUACCCAUUUAAGGCGGGGUAAGGCUCCCGGUUACAUGCCCAUUUAAUUUUUUUUUAAAGUUUUUUAUAAUUUAUUUUAUUGCUCACAUUCAUUAAAGUGAGAUAAUAAUGUAGUUAUUAAAAUUUUUAACUAAUUAAUUAAUUUUAAAAGUUAAAUUCUUCAAAUAUAUUUGGUAAAUUAAGGUUUUUAUUGUUUAUCAUAUUUUUUAAAUAAUCUUAGUUGUUAUCUUCCAUUAGAAUUAAUGAAAUUUCGUUGAGUUUUCUAUUUAAAGUAUUGAAUUCUUAAAAAAAAAAAAGGUCAAAUGGUGCAAAGUCGAGCCCCUGUUACCCAUACUUGCUUGUUCCCGACCCAUCCAUUCAAGGCAACACCCCUUGAAUAUGAUGUAUGACGAAUUUUUUUACUAUCCCUAUCAUCUACGCGACUGAGGCAUCUUGUCAAAGGUAUCAAUUAAUCAUAAGCAUUGAAUGCUAACACCAUUUUGUCUCCCAUAAAUUUGACAUGGGAUUUAGACUUGACUUGAUUGACUGAAUAUGAUAACGAUAGCAAUGAAUUUUCACAUCAAUCAUAUACCAAAAAUUGCAUGAAUGAUCUCCCGCUAGGCCCUUCGCAGCCUCUACCAUGAAUAAGGGUUCAGCUCUUUCAUAUGGAGCUGACUCAAUCGAACGAGUUCAUUAUAGCAUACAAGUUUGGCAUCUUCAUGGGAUUCAAUCAAAUUGUCUCUUGGAUAGAUUAACAUUGAGUGCGAACCCAAAUUCACCUAUCACAUAAGAUUUGUUGGAGCCUUGUCAUGCAGGGCAUAAAAGUUAUUGUUACAUCCCAAUCAUUAUAGUCGAAGUCAAAAAAUUAUUUAAUCAAAGUAAAAAAUUCAAUAGGUCAAAGUCGGUCAAAAUAAGGACUUAAGUGAACAAAUGAUUUCAUGGGGCUCAAUUUGUAAUUACUAAUACUUAAAAAGGCUAGAGAUGAAAUAAAUUAGGAAUUUAUUGUCUUAUUUUUCUAUUACUAAGGGCUAAAAGUUAUAUUGUAAACUUGCAAUUACACUAUAUUAUCUAUUAAAAUAAAAGGAAAGGGAUUCAUUUUACAAAGGGAGAAGCUAGAAGGGAAGAGAGAAAUUGAGAAAAGGAAAAAAGGGGAGAGAGAGAGAGAGAGGUGAAGAAGAAGAAGAGGCUGGUUUGGAGAUGGGAAAUGAUAGUUAAGCAUGUGAGAUUUCUAUAAGAAAGUGCCUUCUUUGUUGUUAAUGGACAAAUCCAAAAUUAUAAACAUUGCUUUUUUUGUAGUUGGCUAAAAUGGAGAUAUCGAGCAUUCGAAUACACUAUUCUUUGCACGAGCUGAGAAUCAUCAACCAGUUCGAAACUUUUGAGAAAUAUGCAACCACACAAUAAAACCAUCAAACAAAUAAAGCAAAUAGGAAAGAAAAACUCGUAUUUUGGGGUUGGGCAAAUAAGAAAGAAAUUUCUAAACUCGUAUUUUGGGGUUGGGCAAAUAAGAAAGAAAUUUCUUUGUUGUUUUCCACAUUCUCCCCUUCUCUAUAUUUGUUAAGGCUUAAUCCCUUGUGACAGAGCCCUGCAUAGGGCCCUAGACGUCCAGGGCCUGUCACCCAAGAAUAACUCAUUUGUUAAUUAUAAAUGAAUUUUGAACGUGGCUGAAUAUCCAACAGCCAAUUUUGGAGGCUACAAAAUUACACUUUUGAAGUACAAAUUUGGUCUAGCAACAUGUUUGCACUUUUUACAUCUAUGUGAAUAGUUGUAACUCUAUAUUUAUGCACAAAUUUGGUCUAACAGUAUGUUUGCACUUUUGACAUUGGUUUAGCAAUAUGUUUGCACUUUUGACAUCUACAUGCGAAUAAUUAGAUCUUUAUGUCGAUUAUUGAGCCUCAUGAUUGUUGGAUAUUUGACUCAAAUUCAUAAUUCAUUAUUAUAAUUUGAUGGCAUUCAAUCAAUAUUUAACAUUGAAAUAUCAAUAAAAAUAUCGAUUAAUAGAUUAGGUUUUUUAUAUACUUUACGAAGGAAAACAAAACCACAAAUUUAAAUAUGAAUAAUACAACUGAUGAUGAAAUAUUUGUAGUUAUAUAAGUAAUUAUUAACUCUCAACAAUUGUUUAUUUUCUGCAUACUGAGAUUAGUAUGAUAUGCCCUGUUUACUUGAUUGUAAAGUGUGCCUAAUCCAGACUUGUUCUCUGGAAUGGCAUCACAAUCGCACUGGCUUCAUCCCACACUAAAACGCCACUAUUUAUAAGCCCUCAAUUGAUCGGAUUGCAUUGAAACGCCCAGCCAAGGGCAGUUUUCAGUUGUUUGCGUAACGCUUGUAAAAGUUGGAAACCCGCACUUCAAAAGUUAGUUGCACUCCUCUAUUGACGAUAAGUAUAUAGCUUUUUGUAAUGCUGUCAAAGGUGUUUGGCUCAAUGGGUUGUUAAAUGAAUUGGGAUUUGCUAAUGAUGAGUUAGUGUUUUUUUUUUUUAAAUAAUAAUAAUGCUGAAAAUUUUCCUAAGUAUGUACCGAGUCAAUACCACUUGUUGAAAAUUAUAAUUGUUUAGAUCCAAAUGGGGAAUUAGAACAAUUAAAAGUAAUAGGUCACUUAUUAAUUGAUUUCUAGAUGAUUAAGAUAACUAAUCGAAUUUAAUUAAUCCCAUGUGUCAAUCACAUAAAAUAAAUAAAGAUCAAAAGCGAUAAAGAACACUAAAUAUGAUUACAAAGGAAAAUUCCUAACUGAAUAAAAAAAUUCGACAAACUUAAAAUUCGCUAAAAAUGUUAACUUACAAUUAGUCCAGAUAUUACUAAAUUUUAACUACAUCUGGCCACCUAUAAAUAGUUUUUGUUACAGUUUUUUUUUCUAUUAAUUCACUUGAUAUAUUUAUUUAAAAUAAUAUUGAAUUCAUGUUGGAUUGUUAUAAACUAGAUUAUUUCAUAUGGAAUUCUUCCCAUGAUUAAUUUCAAAACAACAGUAACUUAAAUAAUUUCCUAAUUGACAAUAAUCAAAUGCAGGAUUCAAUUGAAAUUUUCAAUAUUUAAUGCCUGGUUGAUUCAAGUGACUUUGUAUAGUAAUUGAGGCUCAUGAAUAGAUGUUUAUGAAGAUCAAAUAUUGCAGCCCAUUGUAUAGUCUUAUCCUUAAUAGGCCCAGAAAAAGUCAAUGAUAAAACAAAUUCAAAUAAACAAUUUUUCCUGAAAAAUGAAGCAGUAAAAUCGAUCUCAAUUCACUCUGUCCUUGCUGAUUCAUAUAGAGUCUGAUUGGGCCCGAUUUUUUCAUCCAGAAAAUUGAUUUUUUGACCGUUAUUUCACUAUUCCAACCGUCAUAUUUGACUUCUUCUCUCACAGGUGGAUCCCACUUUUCUUCUAACGGUCAAAAAAUCAAUUCUCAAAAUCACUCCCAAUCAGGCUGAUAAUAUCACCGUAAAGACAUUCUUGUGAUGGAUUUGGAAUUUUCGCAGGCUCCUGAUUCUAGUAUCAUGUCAACUUCAUCAUGGGACAUAUCGUCUCUAAGUUUAGCCAAACCCAGUUAUUUGAUUUGCUGAGGAUCCUCCACUAGUUGUCGUCUAUUCCUAGCCAUAAGACACUGACUAGAGCCGAAAAUACAAUAAAUAAUAAUAAAUAAAUAAAAAAUCUAGCCCUACAAUUCAACAGGUGGAAAAUGAUUUGUCAUAUGUAAUCUUAAUAGAACUAUGCUAUCGGUAUAAACAGGGGCGGACUCAGACAAUUUGGGUUAGGGGAUCAAAAAUAAAAUUUAUAGGGUAUCUUCUAAUAAAAAAAGUUAAGAAAAAAAAAAAGCUAAGCUAAAAAUUUUUUUAUUCCCCAAAAUCUAGAGGGUCAAUUGACCCUACAAACCCCCCCCCCAAGGUCCGCCCUUAGGUAUAGAACGUGAUUGACAGAAUUUAUACCGCAGACAACACUUGACAAAAAUUCAUUGAUUUUGAAUUAUUAUGGGUAAAAAAAGCACCAUAUACUGUAAAUAAUUUCCUGUACGCAUCGAAAACGUCUUAAAUACGUUCUUGUAUUGGACUUGUAUAUGAAAUAUUUCUAAGAUUUAAUUGUUGUUAUUCACUCAACUUACAAUGAAUUUCAUAUUGGUUCCAAACUUUAUUUUACUCCUAAUUAUGAGCUUAAAUUUUGAGUUAUUUCAUAUACAAAACAAAAUUAUAUAUAUUAUCAAAUUACGAAUAAAAUAUUUUGUAAAGUUGAGUAAUGAGUCCAAAGUAAAUUAAUAAUGCAGCACGGUUCAAUGACAUAACGUGUAGAAACGGUUUUCUUUCUUAAAUCAGUAGGGCACGAAAAUAUGUAAAGAACGUUGUCUAAUCGAGGUGGAUCUCAAUAAUCAUUUUGUUAAAAAAGUGAAUAAAGUCGAGGAAUUAAUGAAAUAUGGCAAAAAUGAAGUGAUCAACAUUUUAGUAAAUAAAAGUUUUACCAAAUAUGCACCCAAGUAAAUUUAGUUUAAAAACUCUCAGUUAAGGUAAUCAUUCAUUAAAUUCCACAAUAAAACUCAUAUAGAGAAGUUCAGUUCUUAACCAAAAAUUUCAUCAAAGUUUUUUUCCUCAGGUUUUUCGAAGAAACUAAGUUGUGAAAAGAUUCUCAAUAAUUAAUUAAUUAUGCCAAGUUUGAUCUAAAAUAUUCUAAUGGGAUCUUUUAUAGUAAUAAAAUAAAAUAAAACACCAAGUACUAUAAUGAACUACAUAAUAAAGUGCGAGAUGUAAUCAAACAUUACCAAUUAUGAUAAAUAAUUUACUAAAUAUAGUUGCUUAAACUAAUCUAACUUAAUGAUUAAGUAGAUAGUGACUAUAACUCAAAAACUCUGAAUCCACACAAGCUAAAAACUCAAGAAUUCAUUCAUAUUACAGUCAUUAAUUAAUAUUUAACAUUAACUGUCAAGAGAUGCAGUUAACAGAUACAGAGGAACUGAGAUCUAUUGAUAACUGGAUCGACCAGAGCAACAAUGAAAGUCCUCUAGAAGACUAGUACCAUAAGCAAAAGCCACAUAAUAUUUCAUAUUAGCCACCACUAAUUGAACCUCAAUUGGAUGCAGAGUGAGGAGGAGGAGGAGGAGGACGUCCAGUAAAUUCAGAAACGAUUCCUUUGAAAAUAUUUCCCCUUGUUGGCGGAACCGUGGGCCUCAUCCCAGUGGCGGCCACCCUCGCACCGCACCUACCCUGGCCACGAUUUGGGUUGUUAGCACCGCCGUCGCCCUUAUCCCGACUUGGUCCGCCGCUAUAUCCAGUAUCACUCAUCUUCCACUCUUUUUAGCACAGAUUCACGAGAAUUGUGCACUGAACCGGAGUUCUUUUAUUUUUUUCGAACGGAGUUCUUACUUCUAAAGAAUGAGGCAAAAGAGAAGGGUACAAGAGCCCACCAUAAGCACGUGCGAGAUAAUCCUAUUAACUCAUG
This 16003-nucleotide long non-coding RNA is filed under the name Olea europaea (common olive). RNAcentral describes it as "long non-coding RNA (OEUR_LNC002674)". Lineage: Eukaryota; Viridiplantae; Streptophyta; Magnoliopsida; Lamiales; Oleaceae. The record is from RNAcentral.